Molecule: small nucleolar RNA, 116 nt
Filed under: Pteropus vampyrus (large flying fox)
Lineage: Eukaryota; Metazoa; Chordata; Mammalia; Chiroptera; Pteropodidae
Source: RNAcentral
UCAGGAUCAAAGAUGCAACUGCUUUCCCAUGCAAGCAGCAGUUGAAAAAGAGCCCAAAGUAUGGCCUCUGUUCUGUUGUCUCUGCCCGAUCUGUGACAUUUUGGGAAGACACAGGU